GUCUACGGCCAUGCCCCGCUGAACAAGUCUGAUCUUGGAAGCUAAGCAGGGUUGGGGCUGGUUAGUACUUAGGAGACUUCCUAGAUGGGAGACAACCUAGGAAGACCAGGUGCUGUAGGCG
This 121-nucleotide ribosomal RNA is filed under the name Pteropus alecto (black flying fox). The record is from RNAcentral. Lineage: Eukaryota; Metazoa; Chordata; Mammalia; Chiroptera; Pteropodidae.